RNAcentral lists this unclassified non-coding RNA (212 nucleotides) under uncultured Ascomycota. RNAcentral describes it as "sequence contains ITS1". The record is from RNAcentral. Lineage: Eukaryota; Fungi; Ascomycota.
CCGUGCCCGCGGGCCCGGCGGUCGUCUCGCGGCCGUCGGUGCCCGCAUCCGGCCCACCCUUGUCUAUUUUACCUGUUGCUUCGGCGGGCCUGCGGGCGGCCCAAAAGGGCCGCCUGCUGCCGGGAGGGGCUCUCCCUCCGGGCUCGCGUCCGCCGAAGGUUCAAUCAAACCCUGAUGUCAACGUGUGGUCUCAGUGGAUGGAUAAUCAGUUA